CCUACGGGUGGCAGCAGUAGGGAAUUUUGCGCAAUGGGCGAAAGCCUGACGCAGCAACACCGCGUGAAUGUUAAGCCCUUCGGGGUGUAAAGUUUUGUCAAUAGGGACGAAUUUUGACUGUACCUAUAAAGGAAGCACCGACUAACUCGGGGCCAGCAGCCGCGGUAAUACGGGGGGUGCCGGCGUUGUCCGGAAUCAUGGGGCGUAAAGCGUUCGUAGGCGGCAAGGUAAGUCUGUGGUUAACGCCCGGGGCCAAACUGCGGUUCGGCUUUGGAUACUAUCUGGCUAGAAUGUGGUAGAGGUAAAGGGAAUUCCUGGUGUAGCGGUGAAAGGCGUAGAUAUCAGGAGGAACAUCGGUGGCGAAAGCGCUUUACUGGACCAUUAUUGACGCUGAGGAACGAAAGCCAGGGGAGCAAAUGGGAUUAGAUACCCGUGUAUC
RNAcentral lists this ribosomal RNA (439 nucleotides) under uncultured bacterium. RNAcentral's name for it is "partial 16S ribosomal RNA". It matches the Rfam family "Bacterial small subunit ribosomal RNA", at positions 338 to 794 of the family's 1533-position model. The record is from RNAcentral.